UCGAGCGGAUGAAGGGAGCUUGCUCCUGGAUUCAGCGGCGGACGGGUGAGUAAUGCCUAGGAAUCUGCCUGGUAGUGGGGGAUAACGUCCGGAAACGGGCGCUAAUACCGCAUACGUCCUGAGGGAGAAAGUGGGGGAUCUUCGGACCUCACGCUAUCAGAUGAGCCUAGGUCGGAUUAGCUAGUUGGUGGGGUAAAGGCCUACCAAGGCGACGAUCCGUAACUGGUCUGAGAGGAUGAUCAGUCACACUGGAACUGAGACACGGUCCAGACUCCUACGGGAGGCAGCAGUGGGGAAUAUUGGACAAUGGGCGAAAGCCUGAUCCAGCCAUGCCGCGUGUGUGAAGAAGGUCUUCGGAUUGUAAAGCACUUUAAGUUGGGAGGAAGGGCAGUAAGUUAAUACCUUGCUGUUUUGACGUUACCAACAGAAUAAGCACCGGCUAACUUCGUGCCAGCAGCCGCGGUAAUACGAAGGGUGCAAGCGUUAAUCGGAAUUACUGGGCGUAAAGCGCGCGUAGGUGGUUCAGCAAGUUGGAUGUGAAAUCCCCGGGCUCAACCUGGGAACUGCAUCCAAAACUACUGAGCUAGAGUACGGUAGAGGGUGGUGGAAUUUCCUGUGUAGCGGUGAAAUGCGUAGAUAUAGGAAGGAACACCAGUGGCGAAGGCGACCACCUG
RNAcentral lists this ribosomal RNA (674 nucleotides) under Pseudomonas aeruginosa. RNAcentral's name for it is "bacterial SSU rRNA". It matches the Rfam family "Bacterial small subunit ribosomal RNA", at positions 62 to 731 of the family's 1533-position model. Lineage: Bacteria; Pseudomonadati; Pseudomonadota; Gammaproteobacteria; Pseudomonadales; Pseudomonadaceae. The record is from RNAcentral.